Molecule: signal recognition particle RNA, 262 nt
Filed under: marine eukaryotic metagenome
Description: Bacterial large signal recognition particle RNA
Rfam family: Bacterial large signal recognition particle RNA
About the family: The signal recognition particle (SRP) is a universally conserved ribonucleoprotein involved in the co-translational targeting of proteins to membranes. Archaeal SRP consists of a 7S RNA and homologues of the eukaryotic SRP19 and SRP54 proteins.
Source: RNAcentral
GUGCUAGACGGGGAAUUAGUGGCUCCCUGUUACUCGGAAAUCCGCUCUACCGAGGUCGAAUUCCCACUUGAGGGUUUGUUUUGAUUUGUCGGGACAGUUAAGCAGUAUUGAGAAUUGGGUCUUGUACAACAGAAGCCUAUGAACCCGGUCAGGGCUGGAAGGCAGCAGCCGUAAGUAGUUUACUCCUGUGUGUUGCAAGGUUGCCCGGUUUGAGCCGGCUGGCUGAAACACUUGUUAAAAUAAAUUCGAUUGUGGGUGCACG